This 274-nucleotide ribosomal RNA is filed under the name uncultured bacterium. RNAcentral describes it as "partial 16S ribosomal RNA". It matches the Rfam family "Bacterial small subunit ribosomal RNA", at positions 523 to 796 of the family's 1533-position model. The record is from RNAcentral.
AUACGGAGGGCGCAAGCGUUGUUCGGAAUUAUUGGGCGUAAAGAGCGUGUAGGCGGCUUGGUAAGUCGGGUGUGAAAGCCCGGGGCUCAACCCCGGAAUUGCAUUCGAAACUGCCUCGCUAGAGUCCCGGAGAGGAAGGCGGAAUUCUCGGUGUAGAGGUGAAAUUCGUAGAUAUCGAGAGGAACACCAGUGGCGAAGGCGGCCUUCUGGACGGUGACUGACGCUGAGACGCGAAAGCGUGGGGAGCAAACAGGAUUAGAGACCCCAGUAGUCC